RNAcentral lists this ribosomal RNA (334 nucleotides) under uncultured soil bacterium. RNAcentral describes it as "bacterial SSU rRNA". It matches the Rfam family "Bacterial small subunit ribosomal RNA", at positions 26 to 349 of the family's 1533-position model. The record is from RNAcentral.
AGAGUGAACGCUGGCGGUAGGCCUAACACAUGCAAGUCGAACGGCAGCACAGUGGUAGCAAUACCAUGGGUGGCGAGUGGCGGACGGGUGAGGAAUACAUCGGAAUCUACCUUUUCGUGGGGGAUAACGUAGGGAAACUUACGCUAAUACCGCAUACGCCCUUCGGGGGAAAGCCGGGGAUCGGCAAGACCUGGCGCGGAUAGAUGAGCCGAUGUCGGAUUAGCUAGUUGGUGAGGUAAUGGCUCACCAAGGCGACGACUCCGGUAGCUGGUCUGAGAGGAUGAUCAGCCACACUGGAACAGAGACACGGUCCAAGUACCUACCGUACGGGAGC